This 28-nucleotide non-coding RNA is filed under the name Mus musculus (house mouse). The record is from RNAcentral. Lineage: Eukaryota; Metazoa; Chordata; Mammalia; Rodentia; Muridae.
UGGACAGAUCAUGGAAACAGAAACUAAA